Molecule: transfer RNA, 29 nt
Filed under: Sagina procumbens
Lineage: Eukaryota; Viridiplantae; Streptophyta; Magnoliopsida; Caryophyllales; Caryophyllaceae
Description: partial tRNA-Glu
Source: RNAcentral
CUGGGACGAAAGGAUUCGAACCUCGGAAU